Gorilla gorilla gorilla (western lowland gorilla) is the source of this 1249-nucleotide long non-coding RNA. RefSeq lists it as uncharacterized. The transcript is spliced from 7 exons. The record is from RefSeq and is a predicted model, not a curated record. NCBI's taxonomy places the organism in Eukaryota, Metazoa, Chordata, Mammalia, Primates, Hominidae.
CGUCCCGAGCGUGCUUACGCCAUCCUUUGCGUCACCGCCUUCGCCGGAAGCUGGCUUGCAUCCGCGUCUCCCCAAGGAAAACUGCGGUUGGCGGUGUGGGAAGUGCUAGUAGUAGUUGCUUAUUUGUUUGUUUGCAGAAAUAAUUGCGUGGGUACGAAGGUCAAACGAGAAUGAAGCAAGUAUAUUAUCUAGUUUGUAUGUCUUUAAAUAGUUUCUCCUCCACACGUCUAAACAUACGCACCUGCUAGUAGGUGCGCAAAUGUUAAAACCUCUUUGGGAAAGCAAUGUGGCAAAAUCUAGUAAAAAAAGGUUUUCAAUUGCUAAACCCCAGCACUGUGCUCCUACCUAUAUGUGUUGUAGAAACUUUGGUAAGUGAACAAGGAUGUACAUAACAGCGCUGUGGGUAGAAGCAAAAAAUUAGAAACGUCCAUCAAUAACAGAAUAAAUACCUUAUGGGAUGUUAGUUAGGAUGUAGUAGUAUACGCCAAUAAAAGAAGACUGAACUCAGAAAUGUGAUGAGGCAAAAAGAGAAAGAUGUAGAAAAAUAAAUAGUAUGACAAUUCAUAUACAUUCAACUCUAAAACUUGUAAAACAGUGCUAUAUAUUGCUUAGUUAUGCAUACAUAUGUAGUUAAAGAAGUCAAGAAAUACAAGAGAAUGAAAAUCAAGUUGAGAAAAGCGGUCAUAUUUGGAUCUGGCUCUGUCACCCAGGCUGGAGUGCAGUGGUGCUGUGUCCGGAAUUGGUGGGUUCUUGGUCUCGCUGACUUCAAGAAUGAAGCCGUGGACCCUUGCCUGAUGGAGGUUGAGAAGUCCAACUUCAAGGCACCACAUCUGGUGAGAGCCUUCAUUCCGAUGACAGCCUUCAUGCUGGUGGCAAUAGCUAAUACAUUUGCCUUUAAAUUUGUUUGACAAACACCACCCUGGAAGUAGCCUCAACUCUGGGGAAGCUCCAAGACAGGUAAAAUACAGCAACCUGCAGCAGGAAAAUGGGCUUCAGUUUUCAAGUCUGCAGCUGAGUUGGGAAGUUGCGGACAGUAACCAGUAAUACACAAUAUUGGCAACAAUGCAACAAAACGGACACACUCUACUCUCCAGCGGGAGUGUUAAAAAAAGGAAAAGAAGAGAAAGAAAAAAGGAAAGAAGCAGAAGGAAGAACUCUGCUGCAGUACUGGAAGCAGGCAGAUUAUUUAAAUUACAGUGGUGCCAUGGAACAAGAGAAGGCAGAUGAAGAGCGACACCCUUCAAGUUAA